UACGUAGGGGGCAAGCGUUGUCCGGAAUUAUUGGGCGUAAAGAGCGUGUAGGCGGUCCGGUAAGUCAGCUGUGAAAGUCAAGGGCUCAACCCUUGAAAGCCGGUUGAUACUGUCGGGCUAGAGUCUGGAAGAGGCGAGUGGAAUUCCCGGUGUAGCGGUGAAAUGCGCAGAUAUCGGGAGGAACACCAAUGGCGAAGGCAGCUCGCUGGGACGGUACUGACGCUGAGACGCGAAAGCGUGGGGAGCAAACAGG
RNAcentral lists this ribosomal RNA (253 nucleotides) under uncultured bacterium. RNAcentral describes it as "partial 16S ribosomal RNA". It matches the Rfam family "Bacterial small subunit ribosomal RNA", at positions 524 to 776 of the family's 1533-position model. The record is from RNAcentral.